Molecule: ribosomal RNA, 615 nt
Filed under: Planomicrobium alkanoclasticum
Lineage: Bacteria; Bacillati; Bacillota; Bacilli; Caryophanales; Caryophanaceae
Description: bacterial SSU rRNA
Rfam family: Bacterial small subunit ribosomal RNA
Source: RNAcentral
GCGGACGGGUGAGUAACACGUGGGCAACCUGCCCUGCAGAUCGGGAUAACUCCGGGAAACCGGUGCUAAUACCGAAUAGUUUUUUGCCCCUCCUGGGGCGAAACGGAAAGACGGUUUCGGCUGUCACUGCAGGAUGGGCCCGCGGCGCAUUAGCUAGUUGGUGAGGUAAUGGCUCACCAAGGCGACGAUGCGUAGCCGACCUGAGAGGGUGAUCGGCCACACUGGGACUGAGACACGGCCCAGACUCCUACGGGAGGCAGCAGUAGGGAAUCUUCCGCAAUGGACGAAAGUCUGACGGAGCAACGCCGCGUGAGUGACGAAGGUUUUCGGAUCGUAAAACUCUGUUGUAAGGGAAGAACACAUGCCAUUUAACUGAUGGCAUCUUGACGGUACCUUACCAGAAAGCCACGGCUAACUACGUGCCAGCAGCCGCGGUAAUACGUAGGUGGCAAGCGUUGUCCGGAAUUAUUGGGCGUAAAGCGCGCGCAGGCGGUCCUUUAAGUCUGAUGUGAAAGCCCACGGCUCAACCGUGGAGGGUCAUUGGAAACUGGAGGACUUGAGUGCAGAAGAGGAAAGUGGAAUUCCACGUGUAGCGGUGAAAUGCGUAGAGAUGUG